CGGGAUGUAGCGCAGCCCGGUAGCGCGCGUCGUUCGGGACGACGAGGCCGCAGGUUCGAAUCCUGUCAUCCCGACAA
RNAcentral lists this transfer RNA (77 nucleotides) under uncultured Cytophagales bacterium. RNAcentral describes it as "tRNA-Pro-CGG". It matches the Rfam family "tRNA". From Rfam's summary of the family: Transfer RNA (tRNA) molecules are approximately 80 nucleotides in length. The record is from RNAcentral. Lineage: Bacteria; Pseudomonadati; Bacteroidota; Sphingobacteriia; Sphingobacteriales.